This 459-nucleotide ribosomal RNA is filed under the name uncultured bacterium. RNAcentral's name for it is "partial 16S ribosomal RNA". It matches the Rfam family "Bacterial small subunit ribosomal RNA", at positions 338 to 795 of the family's 1533-position model. The record is from RNAcentral.
CCUACGGGUGGCAGCAGUGAGGAAUAUUGGUCAAUGGUCGGGAGACUGAACCAGCCAAGCCGCGUGAGGGAUGAAGGUACAGAGUAUCGUAAACCUCUUUUGUCAGGGAACAAAGGCGGGGACGUGUCCCCGGAUGAGUGUACCUGAAGAAAAAGCAUCGGCUAAACCCGUGCCAGCAGCCGCGGUAAUACGGAGGAUGCGAGCGUUAUCCGGAUUUAUUGGGUUAAAAGGGUGCGCGGGCGGUCUGUUAAGUCAGCGGUGAAAGCACGGGGCUAAACCCCGGCCCGCAGUUGAAACUGGCAGUCUCGAGUUGGAGAGAGGGAUGCGGAAUACGAGGUGUAGCGGUGAAAUGCAUAGAUAUCGCGCAGAACUCCGAUUGCGAAGGCAGCAUGCCGGCUCCACACUGACGCUGAGGCACGAAAGCGUGGGUAUCGAACAGGAUUAGAUACCCCAGUAGUC